GCCGACGUGGCGGAAUUGGUAGACGCACUAGCUUGAGGUGCUAGCGGGUAACACCGUGCCGGUUCGAGUCCGGCCGUCGGCACCA
Molecule: transfer RNA, 85 nt
Filed under: Pseudomonadota bacterium
Lineage: Bacteria; Pseudomonadati; Pseudomonadota
Also listed under: 1 other name
Description: tRNA-Leu
Rfam family: tRNA
About the family: Transfer RNA (tRNA) molecules are approximately 80 nucleotides in length.
Source: RNAcentral